CGCUGGCGGCGUGCCUAAUACAUGCAAGUCGAACGGUCUUUCUAUGGAAGCUUGCUUCCACUGAGAAGAUAGUGGCGAACGGGUGAGUAACACGUGGGUAACCUGCCCAUAAGAGGGGGAUAGCAUCCGGAAACGGGUGCUAAUACCGCAUAGUUUUCUUGAUCGCAUGAUCGGGAAAGGAAAGACGGCCUUUGUGCUGUCGCUUAUGGAUGGACCCGCGGCGUAUUAGUUAGUUGGUGAGGUAACGGCUCACCAAGACGAUGAUACGUAGCCGACCUGAGAGGGUGAUCGGCCACAUUGGGACUGAGACACGGCCCAAACUCCUACGGGAGGCAGCAGUAGGGAAUCUUCCGCAAUGGACGAAAGUCUGACGGAGCAACGCCGCGUGAGUGAAGAAAAGGUUUUCGGAUCGUAAAACUCUGUUGUCAGAGAAGAACAAGUUGGAGAGUAACUGCUCCAGCCUUGACGGUAUCUGACCAGAAAGCCACGGCUAACUACGUGCCAGCCGCCGC
Molecule: ribosomal RNA, 512 nt
Filed under: uncultured bacterium
Lineage: Bacteria
Description: bacterial SSU rRNA
Rfam family: Bacterial small subunit ribosomal RNA
Source: RNAcentral